UACAGAGGUUUCAAGCGUUGUUCGGAUUCAUUGGGCGUAAAGGGUGUGUAGGCGGCUUGUUAAGUCGGGUGUGAAAUCCCGGAGCUUAACUCCGAAACUGCAUUCGAUACUGCCGUGCUUGAGGACUGGAGAGGAGACUGGAAUUUACGGUGUAGCGGUGAAAUGCGUAGAUAUCGUAAGGAAGACCAGUGGCGAAGGCGGGUCUCUGGACAGUUCCUGACGCUGAGGCACGAAAGCCAGGGGAGCAAACGGG
This 253-nucleotide ribosomal RNA is filed under the name uncultured bacterium. RNAcentral's name for it is "partial 16S ribosomal RNA". It matches the Rfam family "Bacterial small subunit ribosomal RNA", at positions 524 to 776 of the family's 1533-position model. The record is from RNAcentral.